AGUUUGAAUUAGUUUUAUGUUUGCAUUUUUACUAUAAUUUUCUUGUCACAACAUGUUUGAAACAAUGGGAAUUUAAGGUAGAUUAAGCAUAUCUAAGAAUUUUGAUAUGAUAUAGCAUCCCAUCUUUGUAAAAAUCUAGAUGGGAAAUAAUGAGACUAAACCAGAACACUUUUAAGCAGCCUCUUGUAGAGAUUUCUUCUUUUCUAUUGAUAAUCUGGCAACAUCUCUCAAAUCACCAUUGGGCCCUCUUUCAUUAAAAUGUUCUCUGAGAAAUUCCACAGCCAUGAAUGUAAGAGCUGAAGCCGGAAUGUACCACGCAAUUCUGGGGAUGCUACCCCUAAACAUCCCCUUCAUGCCUUCCCUGACCCAUAUAUUGUACAUUGCAUCCAACCAACCAUUAUACCUAAUACAACAAUACAUAAAGCAAAUUACCAUUAAUUUAUAGCUUUAGUCCAUCAAAAACAUUACAACUCCCCACACACAAAAUAGCCCUUUUCAUUAUGAAUUUAUGGUAAGAAAAAUGUGAGACAAUGUAUAUAUUUUUAUUUUGACGAUGUCCAUAAUACUUCAGAAAACCAACUCUGCAUAAUGGGAAGGCAGAUGUGUUCCAAACAAUGUUUUAAAAAAAGGACCAAAUUGGCCAGUUGACCAAAGAACUGGUCAGUUAGCUGAAUGAUUUGAUCCCGGUUCAACCAUUUUUCGUUUUUUUUACAUUUUUUAAUUUACUUUUUCUAUUUAAUACAGUUUUUACUUUUUAUUUAGUGAAUUGUCAUCCAAUUCAACCGUGGUUGAACCAACUGGAUAAUGACCCAGAGGUCUCACCAGUUCAAAAAAUACUGGGUCCAAAAAACAAUCAUUAAAGAAAGUUAAGUAGACUAGUUAUGGAAAUGAAUUUGAUACAUUAAAGUUGAACCCUGAACUUGCAGCCUUGUUUUGACGACAUCCAAAGGAGUGGUGAGAUAUGCACUGAGACCUGUUUCAUUGUUAACACAAAAAAUUAAUUAUACCGAACAAAUCACUGCUAGGAGAACUUAAGUACAAAGAUUAAAGGCAAAGCACAGGACAUACCACCAGCUAAUCCUCCUAAAACCAGCCCCUCAAAUGAAUUAUUAACCUGCCAUUUGGAGCUAGAUAUCCAUCUUUGCUUCCCGUACUCUGUAACAUCUUUCAAAGCUUCAUAGAACACAACCUUUAAAAAUUGCAUAAAAAGUUAUUCAAAAUCACAUUUGCACAAAUAUUACAAAACAAAUAAUUUACUUCUAGAAACAUCUGUGUUUUCACACAGUAUAUCAAAUACAUAUAUGUACAUGAUUGCAGAGUUUGGAUCACACUUACAGUUUAUGAUUGAACAUAAUACAUUUGAAAUGAAAUGAGUCAGAAAUACAAUGACAGGUAGUUGGAUGUAAAAAUGACAUCAUCACAGGCAAUAUGAUGUAUAUGAAUUUAAAUCUUAUCAUUCCAAACAAAUUUCAUACCAUUUUUUUUCUUAUUUUAGACUCCAAAUAAAUAAGAGUUUGUCUAUUUAGCCCUAGAAAAAUUGGCCAAAGUUAAUCUCCUUGGUUUUUUACAGUACAAUGCUAUAGAGAUUCAAAAAUAAAUAUGUAACUUUAUUCAAUGCUUAAACAAGUGCCAUGUGUGGCAGAGAAAUUAAUAAAUCAUUAAAUCAGGCCCAGAAAAAGGAUGGUUCCAAUAUGGAUCAGGUCAUAAAGAGUGGUUGGACCUAUAAAGACUAUACUUGAAUUUUGAAUAAUGCAUCCAAUUCCAAUAUCUAUGUCUAAUCAGUAAUCAUAAAAAUAUUCUUUACUUCAAUUUCUGACUGACCUAACCCAUUUUAAAGUUUAGCUACGACACCUUCUGUGCACUAGCAGUGACAAUCAUAUCAGACAAUAGACUUUUAAUAAACUGAAAGAGGACCAUGUAAGAGAAUGUUUAAAUUACCAAAUGAAAAUAUUGAAUACAAUAGAUUAUAGAAGAGUUAAGGCUUAUUUGUUUAAGCUUUUGAAUUAAAAAAAAAAAAAGUGAUUCUAAGAUGGCAUAAAAAAAUUAAUUUUAGAGAUUUAUGUAAAGGAGAAGCUUUUUUUCAUUUAGUUACUAUUAUAAAAAUCAUUUUUUAUGUUAACACUUAGGGUGGCUUCUAAGGGGAGGGUCCAAAAAGUCCCUCACUGGUGGACCACUAUAAAAAACAAUUAAGAGUAAUUAGACCAAUCAAGGUUACACAUACUAUUAUACACCAUAUACACUAGGGAGCUUGAUUAGUCUAUUGGCUCUUGAUUAAGAGUAUGUGUGAGCUUGAUUAGUCUAUUGGCUCUUGAUUAAGAGUAUGUGUGAGCUUGAUUAGUCUAUUGGCUCUUGAUUGUUGUUUAUAGUACCUGUAAGGGAUUUGUUGGAGCCCUUACCUUAUACUUACAAGUUACAACUUAUUUUAAAAUUUAAAAUUUAAUCAAGAAAAAAUUAAAAUUAUCCAAUGCGUCGAAAAAAAUAUUAACACUAUCUAAGAAUACGAUUCAAGAAUUAAACAAUUAUCAUUGGUAUUGGUCAACAUUACACUUUCAAUCGUUAAUAGUCAAUAGUUAAUGAAGGUCAUUUACUUUCAAUUGUUAAUAGUCAAUAGUUAAAUCUUGACAAUUAUUUUAAAACGGACAAAGAAUCAUACAAAAUUGAAACAACAAAUCUCUUCUCUUUAAGAAGUAAUAUAAAUAAAUAAUUUUUGCUUCAACUCCUAUUUUUUAUCAUUUCAUAAGUAACGUCAACUUCAAUUCUACUAUACUUUUAAUUUUAUUCAACUAAUCAACUAUCUUAAUUAACAUUUAAAAGGAUUUAAUUCUCAAAUUCACUAUUGUCAAAAAAAAUAUUCACUAUGUGGUGGAUAUUAACUUUUUCACUGUUUUACAUUUUAUUAUGCUGAUGUCGAUUUGUGCACAGGCUUAUAUUUGGAUGGAGCAUAUGGGAAUUACAUAAAUUGAGAAGAGGUUUGUGAAUAUGACAUACAAACCAUCAACACCAAACUAAUUACAUCCUGAGUAAAGAAAACUAUGUCAUUAGCAUGAGUAGAAUAAAAUGUAAAAGAAUAUAGACAUAGUCAGAGUGUGAGGUAUGAACUCAAUUGUAGAAUUUUCCUUCCCAAGGUGUACUUUGAUAUCCAAAUAUGGUCGCAAUUCAACCAAACACAUUGCUAUCUGAUGAAAUUACUUGCACUUCAUCCAUGGUCCCAUAAUAGAGAUGACAUGUUGAUGUGGCAAAAAAAAGUAAUUAAUUACACAAGGCAUUCAAAUUAUAAGUGGAUUAGGUGUCAACAUCAGAUUAUGCAUCUCAUAUUUAAUAGAUUAUAAUAGAUAAGAUUAUUCAAAAAAUAGACAAAUACAGAACACCGCAUGAAAGUUAUGUGAAAAAUGUGUACGGUAAAUAUGUACAUAUACUACUACUUAUUAUCACCUUAAGAUGUUCUCGAAGCCAAAUUUCUAAGUUUUCCAAGUCUCUAUUCACUAGUUCGGAAGAUAGCAGACCAAACAAAAAUGGACCAGAUAAAGUUUGAAUUAGUUUUAUGUUUGCAUUUUUACUAUAAUUUUCUUGUCACAACAUGUUUGAAACAAUGGGAAUUUAAGGUAGAUUAAGCAUAUCUAAGAAUUUUGAUAUGAUAUAGCAUCCCAUCUUUGUAAAAAUCUAGAUGGGAAAUAAUGAGACUAAACCAGAACACUUUUAAGCAGCCUCUUGUAGAGAUUUCUUCUUUUCUAUUGAUAAUCUGGCAACAUCUCUCAAAUCACCAUUGGGCCCUCUUUCAUUAAAAUGUUCUCUGAGAAAUUCCACAGCCAUGAAUGUAAGAGCUGAAGCCGGAAUGUACCACGCAAUUCUGGGGAUGCUACCCCUAAACAUCCCCUUCAUGCCUUCCCUGACCCAUAUAUUGUACAUUGCAUCCAACCAACCAUUAUACCUAAUACAACAAUACAUAAAGCAAAUUACCAUUAAUUUAUAGCUUUAGUCCAUCAAAAACAUU
This 3991-nucleotide long non-coding RNA is filed under the name Cicer arietinum (chickpea). RNAcentral describes it as "long non-coding RNA (CARI_LNC001435)". The record is from RNAcentral. Lineage: Eukaryota; Viridiplantae; Streptophyta; Magnoliopsida; Fabales; Fabaceae.